GAUGAACGCUGGCGGCGUGCCUAAUACAUGCAAGUCGAGCGAACAGAUAAGGAGCUUGCUCCUUUGACGUUAGCGGCGGACGGGUGAGUAACACGUGGGUAACCUACCUAUAAGACUGGGAUAACUUCGGGAAACCGGAGCUAAUACCGGAUAACAUUUGGAACCGCAUGGUUCUAAAGUGAAAGAUGGUUUUGCUAUCACUUAUAGAUGGACCCGCGCCGUAUUAGCUAGUUGGUAAGGUAACGGCUUACCAAGGCAACGAUACGUAGCCGACCUGAGAGGGUGAUCGGCCACACUGGAACUGAGACACGGUCCAGACUCCUACGGGAGGCAGCAGUAGGGAAUCUUCCGCAAUGGGCGAAAGCCUGACGGAGCAACGCCGCGUGAGUGAUGAAGGGUUUCGGCUCGUAAAACUCUGUUAUUAGGGAAGAACAAACGUGUAAGUAACUGUGCACGUCUUGACGGCACCUAAUCAGAAAGCCACGGCUAACUACGUG
RNAcentral lists this ribosomal RNA (497 nucleotides) under uncultured bacterium. Its description in RNAcentral is "partial 16S ribosomal RNA". It matches the Rfam family "Bacterial small subunit ribosomal RNA", at positions 28 to 507 of the family's 1533-position model. The record is from RNAcentral.